Molecule: long non-coding RNA, 152 nt
Organism: Amphimedon queenslandica
Lineage: Eukaryota; Metazoa; Porifera; Demospongiae; Haplosclerida; Niphatidae
Exons: 2
Source: RefSeq, a predicted model, not a curated record
UGUUGAUGAACAACAGUUAGUUUCUAUGGGUAAACAGCCCUGACCAUCCCAGAGUGGAUCUGCAUUUCCUCCUUCACAAUAAUAACUUUUUCCAACAAAUGAAGGAACUUUUUGAAUCAAAAAAGAAAUGGUAUUAGCAAUAAGAAACAAAA